AGGCAAAUUGCCAAUGGGUCCUCCAGUUUGUUGAAAAAUUUCGUCAUCGCUGCUUAUUUCCCCUGCUCUUAUAAAUUACAAUCGGCUGAUGUCUGUUAUUUUUGUUAGUCACUACACCAAUGUUAGGUUUCGAGUUGUGUACUCUGUGUUGUUAUAAGGUUAGGGCACUUCUAAAGAAAAUUCUUCUGUACAGUUUAAUAUUCUAUUCAAACAAUAACAUAACAUAAUUAUGAAUUCAAUUUAGUUAAGCUACGUCAUACAGUUAUUGCAGCUAGCACAUAUAGUUACACUUUCUGUUCCCGCAAUUCUCAACAACACUGUUGUGGCGAUGAUGAUGUAGGCUUCCUUUUUAUUUAAAAAAUUAACUGGUUUGUCAUUCCAGAGUUAUAGGCCUUUUUAACAAUCUUAUUUAAGGCAAUAUUCAGAGAUCUCAUAAAGGUCAAGCACAGGCCACAAAUGCAUGAUUUUUUGUCUGGAUCCACCAUUUCAUUUUACUAUGUGUCCUGAGGCCUAAUGAAAAAUCUUUUUCUGGUAUCCAGACCCAUCCUAAUUUUUAUACGACCGCAAACAAAUUUUUGUGGUCGUAUAUUGGUAUGACGUUGGCGUCGUCGUCGUCCGGCAUCGUCGUCCGAAGACACAUUAGUUUUCGCACUCUAACUUUAGUUUAAGUGAAUGGAUCUCAAUGAAAUUUUACCAUAAGGUUCAAAACCACAAAAGGAAGGUGGGGAUUGAUUUUGGGGGUUAUGGUACCAACAGUAAAGGAAUUAGGGGCCAAAAAGGGGCCAAAAAUAAGCAUUUUUGUAACUUCCAGACAUAACUUGUGGGUAAGUGUAUGGAUCUAUCUGACAUUGUUCCACAAGGUUCCAUAUCACAAAGAGAAUGCUGGGAUUGAUUUUGGGGGUAAUUGCCUCAAAAUUUUAGGAAUUAGGGGCCAAAAAGGGGCAAAAAGCAAGCAUUUUUCUAGUUUUCACGACAAUAACUUGUGUGUAAGUCUAUGGAUCUCUCUGACAUUGUAUCAGAAGGUUCCAUAUCAGAAAGGGAAUGCUGGGAUUGAUUUUGGGGGUAAUUGCCUCAAAAAUUUAGGAAUUAGGGGGCAAAAAACAAGCAUUUUUCUAGUUUCAUGACAAUAACUUGUGUGUAAGUGUAUGGAUCUUUAUGAAAUUGUACUACAAGGUUCCAUAUCACAAAGGGAAAGCUGGAAUUGAGUUUGGGGGGUAAUUGCCCAAAAAGUUUAGAAUUAAGGGGUCAACAAGGGGCCAAAAAUAAGCAUUUUUCUAGUUUCAAGACAAUAACUUGUGUUCAAGUGUAUGGAUCUCUCUGAAAUUGUACUGCAAGGUACCAUACCACAAAGGGAAGGCUUGGAUUGAUUUUUGGGGUAAUUCCCUCAAAAUUUUAGUAAUUAGGGGCCAUAAAA
This is a long non-coding RNA of Mytilus californianus (California mussel), 1414 nucleotides long. RefSeq lists it as uncharacterized. The record is from RefSeq and is a predicted model, not a curated record. Lineage: Eukaryota; Metazoa; Mollusca; Bivalvia; Mytilida; Mytilidae. The transcript is spliced from 2 exons.